RNAcentral lists this long non-coding RNA (1308 nucleotides) under Arabidopsis lyrata. RNAcentral's name for it is "long non-coding RNA (ALYR_LNC000935)". Lineage: Eukaryota; Viridiplantae; Streptophyta; Magnoliopsida; Brassicales; Brassicaceae. The record is from RNAcentral.
CUUAAUAAUAUGUUACAUGCAUACAUGCUAAUCAUCAUGCCUGAGUAUAAUUGGAAUACUGUGUGCGGCUUUCUAAUGAUGUCGUCUUUGGAGCUAUUUAGAAAGCUUGAAGUAAUGUUAAAGGUUAGUUAGAUGAUAAGGAUUGCAUAUAUUUUUUAGUUUUUAUGAAUAUUUAACUGUUGUUAAACUUUUUGAAUGAGUAGAAUUGUGAUAGAAAAGUCUCGUGAUUGUUAUUUUGUUUUCUAAAGUUUUCAUUAGCAAUACACCAAUACAUUGCUUUCUUAUAUUGUUUGAACUGCUUCUGUAUAUGAAUUAUUUAACUUCAUAUUAAGCUAGUAAAGCUGAAAACUCCAUAAAAAACAAAGUUAAGCUGGAUUUUGAGAUUCUGGAAAAAAGGGAAGAUAAAAAUAACAUAUAGUUGAUUCAAAACAACAUUGUUUCUUAUCUGGAAAAUGAUUUCAGUAACCACAAUACUUUCCAAAUUCCCUUUAGAAACCAGUUUUUUCCUUUUAAACAUAUAAAAGAAAUGAUUAUUAUAGGAUUGCAUAUUUCAGAAAGUUUUCAAUCCUUACAGAUUAUUAGUAUAGAUUGUUACCUCUUGCAUAUCAUAUCGCUUGCAAAGCAAAUUGUUAUAGGUUUUGAAAAACAUCCUUGAACACCACAUUCAUUGUUGCCUUAUGUGGUUUUCCUUAUUUGUCCACUAUGAGGAUCUUCAAUCCUUUCUUAGAAUUUACCCUAAAGAUUGCAACAUAGAGUUGGCCAUGUGAUUAUUCUAAGUACUAAAUAAAAUUAAGAUCUAUUGAAAAUGGAAUAUUACUCACAGAUGGUCAUUUCCAUUGUUUCACCAGUGAAUUGCAUGCGUGUAUUGUGUCCAAGAAUGGAGAAUCUUCACUUGGAUUUUCCAAUUCGUCUUGAAAGGUUUGAUGUCAGCAGGGUUGACGAUCACAAGAUUUUCAGCCUUUUUUUCAAAGGAGUAGCAAGCGAAGAAUGAUUGCAUGAAAGGUUAGUGUGUAUCUAAACUUAACAUUAAACAUCUAUUUAUAUGAAAAAGGUCGGCAAAAUUCUUUUAAGGUUUAGAGAAUGAAUACAUCAACAACCGUAUAUUAGCAAAUAAGAAUUUUAGAGGUAUAUGCUGAUUUGUUAGUAUUUCAAAAUCUAGUUUUUAUUAGAUUUUGGAAAUAGAAUAAUUUUGAUCGUAUUUAAUGGGAUUAUGAUUUAUUUAGUUAUCGAUAUUGAAUGGAUUUGUUUGUUAUAGAAAUCAAUUUAAAUGAUAACUAACAAAUUUGGUUUUGGGAUUAAUUCCUGAAG